GAGCUGGGAAGCGGAUGUCGCUGUGAGGGGAGGUCUCCCACACUGAAGAUGUGAACAGAAACAUCUGUACGCGGGUUGUCUGUGGACCCUGCCGGUCCCGUGGUCACAGGAGGCACGGUCACGGGGUUUUCUGUUGUGGCCGGUUGGCCAGUUGACCGACGCCUUUCCUGGUGGCUGGUCUGAUGACCGGCUCUGCUUUGGGGGCUGCAGAGAGGAGAUCGCGGCACGUUCUCGGGGUCGGGUUUAAUCUUGAGCUCCCGUCCCUCCUCUCUUCAAGCAAGUCCUGACAGAAGAAAGUUAGGAAGUCGCUAAAGACCACCCACAAAGCAAGGAAUGCAGGUGCAGGGGCGGCAGCGAAGGCUCUGGGAGCAGCGGCCGUCGCGGAGUCAGUCCUUGGAGCUGCCACGUGGCUGAGUCUUCCCUCUGACGCAGGCGCCCUGGGGAGACUGUGCCGCUCGUGGCCUGUGUAGUGGCCGCCCCGGAAGCUCGCUCCGCAGAAAGCCUGGUUUGGGAGGCUCAUGUGUACGUGGAAGAUUUACUCUGUCAACAGGCCUCUUUCUGCUCUGAGGCCAGAUGCCCGGGACAGAGCAGUGCCGUGCUGGGGGGCAGCCACGUGAACGCCCAUCUUUCCUUGGCUCCAGGGGUAGAGUUUCUUACUUACGCUUCAGAACGCCCGGGAGCAUUCACCCCAGAGAAGGCAGGCCAGACUCUGGGCCGGGCCCCGGGCCUGGUGGCGGAACGAGCUAUUUUGGGUCUCCUUUGGGACAGGCGGCCGGGAGGAGGCCCUUCUUAUCUGCAGCCACACCUGCCUCGGCAUGGCAGGCUGCGGGCACGGCUGCCCACUCCGUUGGGGCCUGCCCCUGAGUCAGCCCUGUUUCCCAGAACUGCUGGGUGGAUCCGGUUCUCGGGUUACCAUUUUGGUCGUUGGCAACAAUGUGAACCUUGGUGACCGUGAACAGCGGGUUCCCAUCACCCCCACGGCUCUGGGUAACUUGCAGGGCGUGGCCCUCACCUUUUUUUCUGUGCGUGUUUGUAAAAUGUAAUAUUGUAAAAUGUUAACGUCCGUUUUUGUGAUUUAUUAAUUUUUAAAGUCAAAGUAGCACGUGUAUUUAGAACGUCAAAUAAUACUACAGAUGUUCUAAUAAAAGUCAGUAGCCUCCUAUCCGUCCUGAGUCACGCACUCGAAAGGCAACCACUUGUAAUUCUUUCCACUGUGAUUCUCUUUCUGAUUUCUAAAUAACACGUCUUAUUGUUAUUUCUUGGAUUCUCAACUUUAGACGCUAUUGGCUGCUUCUUGGUGGUCUGGGUAGCCCCUCCCCCAGCCUCCCCCCUAGCUCUUGCCACGAGUGUCAGAUCAUAACGUUGGUCAAAGAUUCAGAGUCCCCGUUGUUGUUACUAUCAUGCUUAUCGCUGGUAUUUCAGAUUCUGCACCAAAAUUGAUAAACCCCUCUGAAAACAGGGUCAUAAGUGUGAGGCCAUCUGCCGCUCCCACUUCCUGGAAGAUGCCCCUCAGAUCCUUCCGUCCGUCCACCUGCAUCAGUUGUGCAGCCCGGGCUGGCCUGCCUCCCUCUGUGCGGGUCCUCCUGCAUCCCCCGUGUCUGCGUGUUCCCUGACCGCAGGCCUGCCAGCUCGGAGCAGCCCCGGGUGGUGCACUGCUCACUGGGUCCACGGCGAGUGGGCUCAGCUGGGCCCUGAGCUUGGGAGUUGCUGUCAGGUCUGCUUCCCUCUCUGGAGGCUCUGUGGAGGCUCUGCUUCCAGCUCUUUCAGGGGUUUGGCGGAAUCCAGUUCCUGUGGUUUGGAGGGCUGGGGCCCUGUUUUCCUGCUGGCUGUGAGCCGGCGCCACCCUCGGCUCCUGGAGGGCGUCUUCAGAGCCAGCCGCGGGCGGUCUCACGCGUUGGAUCCCUCUUGCUUUGAAACUUGAUGGCCAGAGUUAGCCCCGUCCUGAUUCAGGGCUCGCCUGAUUAGGUCAGGCCCACCGAGGGUCACGUCCUUCAGGUCGCCGUACUGUGUGAUGUGACCUAACCCCAGAGUGAAAUCCACCCGCCACAGGCCCAGGGUCGUGCAACCGUGAUUGCCAGGGGCAGGGCCGUGGGGUGUCUUGGAGCCGUCUCCGCCUCGUGCCUGCCGUGGGGCUGAGCGUCGUCUCCGCCUCGUGCCUGCCGUGGGGCUGAGCGUCGUCUCCACCUCGUGCCUGCCGUGGGGCUGAGCAUCUUGCUCUUGACUUAUUCUUGGUUCGCUGGGACCAGACCCCCUCCAGCCUCAAGGAAGGGCAGGAGGUCUGGAGGCCCUGCGUCCAGCGUUCGGUGGCUGCUGAGCGAGCGCCAGCCGCGUGCGCGAUGGAGGUCUUGGCCCCGUCUCCAGGGUGUCUGUGUGGCGGGUGGGAGCCGGUCAGCUCUACUCUUCCUUCCUCUGCGUGGUCUGUUUCCUCCUCCCUGAUUCCAUCUGGAAUUUCACGGCUCGCUUUGAUGCACGUCUUUCCCCAUUCGCUGUGCCUGGCACGUGGAAGCUGGAGUUUCUGGAAGUUUUCUGGAUUGUUUUGGUCGAUUUCCCCCCCGCGUUUUGUCUUUUCUCUUUCUGCACCUCCUGUUGGCUGUCGGACCUGCUUUCUGAGAGAUGUUUAAAUUUCCCAGCUAGACGCCUGUUCUCAGGUUACCCGUCGCGGCGUCCUGUUGUGCUCCUGGCCCUCCGAGGGCCGUGUUACAGGGCUCUCUCUUUUCAAGCUCCUCUCCUUCCUUCACCCUCUCUUACUUUUCCGGCUUCUGUUUCGGUCUCUGUCGUUCACGUCGCAGGCUUUCCUCACGUCCCCGUCAGCGGCCCUGGGAGGCUGCUCUGUGCCUGGCGGGUCGUGGCCGCCCCUCGUGCCCAGCGUCCCGGGAGCCAAGGGCGUGGGGCCAGGACAGCGGCCCUGCUCCUCGGCUCCUCGGCUCGGGCUUCUCGGCUCCAGCGGCUCGCUCCCCUCCCUGCCCCGCCCCCUCCCCGCACUCGGCCUCAUCCUUCCAGCUGUCCUUCCAGCUGUGUGCCGUCCUCUGAGCAUUCGGUGCUGUCUCUCCCAGUUGUAUUUCCUUUGUUCUUCUUGUUUCUGCCGUCGCAUGCGGGGCUUCCCGAAGGAGCAGAGGUGAGGGCGUGUUUCCGGCCAGCCUGCGUGGUCCUCUGCAGUCGCCCGCGCGGCCGCCACUCCCAUGUGGUGGGCAUUCUGUGCCACAGGAGACACUGUCUGUCUUCCCUGUGUCGCGCACGGCCACGCUCCAGCGCCAGCGGGCCGCGACUGUGUCCCCUGUGUGUCCCUGAGGCCGUGCACAGAACUCUCCAGAAGCCUCCCUGCUCAUCAGGGG
Molecule: long non-coding RNA, 3332 nt
Organism: Aethalodelphis obliquidens (Pacific white-sided dolphin)
Lineage: Eukaryota; Metazoa; Chordata; Mammalia; Artiodactyla; Delphinidae
Exons: 2
Source: RefSeq, a predicted model, not a curated record